RNAcentral lists this long non-coding RNA (377 nucleotides) under Linum usitatissimum (flax). Its description in RNAcentral is "long non-coding RNA (LUSI_LNC001343)". Lineage: Eukaryota; Viridiplantae; Streptophyta; Magnoliopsida; Malpighiales; Linaceae. The record is from RNAcentral.
ACCCCUGCCUGGUAGAAGAAUUUGCAAAUCGAGGAAACAACAUCCCUGCGAGAUCUUCUAGACCAGCCGUUCUUCACUUUUAACUCUCUCCGAGAAGGUGGCAGCUGACUGUUGUUAAGGAAAACAGAAUCCAGUCGCGACUUCUUUUGAAAUGCUUCGGAACCACCAACUGGAGAAGAAGAACUAUUCCGCAACGCCAUUUUCCAGUCUUUCCUGGGACGCUUCUCCCCAACUGUAGACCUAUCCUUGCUGGAACGAAAGACGUCAUCUUGUUCUUGUUCCUGUUCUUGAUCAUCUUCUUGUUCUUCAUCGGUUUGCUUGCAGAACUCAGAUAUCUCAUUGGAGUCGAGCGGUCUCUGUCUCCUGCCAGUGCGGUG